GUUCCUGUGGUGGAAUUGGUAGACGUGCGUGAUUGUCAAUCAUGUGUCCUAGGACAUACGGGUUCGAGUCCCAUCAGGCU
RNAcentral lists this transfer RNA (80 nucleotides) under Bacillus toyonensis. RNAcentral describes it as "tRNA-Asp". It matches the Rfam family "tRNA". From Rfam's summary of the family: Transfer RNA (tRNA) molecules are approximately 80 nucleotides in length. Their secondary structure includes four short double-helical elements and three loops (D, anti-codon, and T loops). Lineage: Bacteria; Bacillati; Bacillota; Bacilli; Caryophanales; Bacillaceae. The record is from RNAcentral.